This 305-nucleotide ribosomal RNA is filed under the name uncultured bacterium. Its description in RNAcentral is "bacterial SSU rRNA". It matches the Rfam family "Bacterial small subunit ribosomal RNA", at positions 334 to 653 of the family's 1533-position model. The record is from RNAcentral.
UGUUCCUACGGGAGGCAGCAGUGGGGAAUAUUGGACAAUGGGGGGAACCCUGAUCCAGCGACGCCGCGUGAGUGAAGAAGUAUUUCGGUAUGUAAAGCUCUAUCAGCAGGGAAGAAAGAAAUGACGGUACCUGACUAAGAAGCCCCGGCUAACUACGUGCCAGCAGCCGCGGUAAUACGUAGGGGGCAAGCGUUAUCCGGAAUUACUGGGUGUAAAGGGAGCGUAGACGGCAAUGCAAGUCCGGAGUGGAAUGCGGCAGCUCAACUGCCGAACUGCUCUGGAAACUGUAUGGCUUGAGUGCAGGG